AUUGAACGCUGGCGGCAGGCCUAACACAUGCAAGUCGAACGGUAACAGAAAGCAGCUUGCUGCUUUGCUGACGAGUGGCGGACGGGUGAGUAAUGUCUGGGAAACUGCCUGAUGGAGGGGGAUAACUACUGGAAACGGUAGCUAAUACCGCAUAACGUCGCAAGACCAAAGAGGGGGACCUUCGGGCCUCUUGCCAUCGGAUGUGCCCAGAUGGGAUUAGCUAGUAGGUGGGGUAAAGGCUCACCUAGGCGACGAUCCCUAGCUGGUCUGAGAGGAUGACCAGCCACACUGGAACUGAGACACGGUCCAGACUCCUACGGGGGGCAGCAGUGGGGAAUAUUGCACAAUGGGCGCAAGCCUGAUGCAGCCAUGCCGCGUGUAUGAAGAAGGCCUUCGGGUUGUAAAGUACUUUCAGCGGGGAGGAAGGGAGUAAAGUUAAUACCUUUGCUCAUUGACGUUACCCGCAGAAGAAGCACCGGCUAACUCCGUG
RNAcentral lists this ribosomal RNA (490 nucleotides) under uncultured bacterium. Its description in RNAcentral is "partial 16S ribosomal RNA". It matches the Rfam family "Bacterial small subunit ribosomal RNA", at positions 30 to 507 of the family's 1533-position model. The record is from RNAcentral.